Columba livia (rock pigeon) is the source of this 310-nucleotide long non-coding RNA. RefSeq lists it as uncharacterized. The transcript is spliced from 2 exons. NCBI's taxonomy places the organism in Eukaryota, Metazoa, Chordata, Aves, Columbiformes, Columbidae. The record is from RefSeq and is a predicted model, not a curated record.
GCCUGUUCCAAUGCCCGACAGCCCUUUUUGGGAAGAAUUUUAUCCAAUCUGAAUCUCUGCUGGCACAACCUGAUGCCAUUUCCUCUUGUCCUAUCACUUUCUACUUGGGAGAAGAGACCAACACCAGACCAGCUGAGUUAAAAAUCAGUGGAUGCCAAAUGUCACCCAUUGGACCAUUCUGCAUGUGCACGAAAUUAGCAGGAACAACAGGACUGGAACAGAACCGAGGGAGGUGUAAAUAUGACCUCUGUAUUUCUGCACCUUGGCUGAUUAAAGUGUAUUUUAUUAAAAAAUAAAAAAAAAAAUCUGU